AUUGAACGCUGGCGGCAGGCCUAACACAUGCAAGUCGAGCGGAUGAGGGGAGCUUGCUCCCUGAUUUAGCGGCGGACGGGUGAGUAAUGCCUAGGAAUCUGCCUGGUAGUGGGGGAUAACGUUGCGAAAGGAACGCUAAUACCGCAUACGUCCUACGGGAGAAAGCAGGGGACCUUCGGGCCUUGCGCUAUCAGAUGAGCCUAGGUCGGAUUAGCUAGUUGGUGAGGUAAUGGCUCACCAAGGCGACGAUCCGUAACUGGUCUGAGAGGAUGAUCAGUCCCACUGGAACUGAGACACGGUCCAGACUCCUACGGGAGGCAGCAGUGGGGAAUAUUGGACAAUGGGCGAAAGCCUGAUCCAGCCAUGCCGCGUGUGUGAAGAAGGUCUUCGGAUUGUAAAGCACUUUAAGUUGGGAGGAAGGGCUGCUGGUUAAUACCCUGCAGUUUUGACGUUACCAACAGAAUAAGCACCGGCUAACUUCGUG
RNAcentral lists this ribosomal RNA (484 nucleotides) under uncultured bacterium. Its description in RNAcentral is "partial 16S ribosomal RNA". It matches the Rfam family "Bacterial small subunit ribosomal RNA", at positions 30 to 507 of the family's 1533-position model. The record is from RNAcentral.